AUGUAAUAAAUAGGACGUAAAAAAAGGGAUAAGGUGCAAAGAUUGAUUGCUCAUUCAAAUUCAAACUUUAUUUUGAAUUUGAAUGGCCAACCAAUCAUCCUUAUCCAUUUAUUUGGCACAUUAAAAUGGGGCGUGGAGAGGGCUUGGCGUGAGAAAAAAAUUCAUGAGAAGUUCCUUCUCAUGAAUUCAAAUGGGUGCAAUGGA
This 204-nucleotide long non-coding RNA is filed under the name Elaeis guineensis (African oil palm). RNAcentral describes it as "long non-coding RNA (EGUI_LNC080076)". The record is from RNAcentral. Lineage: Eukaryota; Viridiplantae; Streptophyta; Magnoliopsida; Arecales; Arecaceae.